UCUAGCUCAGGAUGAACGCUGGCGGCGUGCUUAAUACAUGCAAGUCGAACGAAGCACCUGCGACGGAUCCCUUCGGGGUGAAGAUGCUGUGACUGAGUGGCGGACGGGUGAGUAACGCGUGGGUAACCUGCCUUAUGCAGGGGGACAACAGUUAGAAAUGACUGCUAAUACCGCAUAAGCGCACGAGACCGCAUGGUCAAGUGUGAAAAGAUUUAUCGGCAUAAGAUGGACCCGCGUCUGAUUAGGUAGUUGGUGAGGUAACGGCCCACCAAGCCGACGAUCAGUAGCCGACUUGAGAGAGUGAUCGGCCACAUUGGGACUGAGACACGGCCCAGACUCCUACGGGAGGCAGCAGUGGGGAAUAUUGGGCAAUGGGCGAAAGCCCUGACCCAGCAACGCCGCGUGAAGGAUGAAGGUCUUCGGAUUGUAAACUUCUUUGAUUGGGGAAGAAUAAAUGACCUACCCAAAGAACAAGUCACGGCUAACUACGUGCCAGCCGCGGC
This 503-nucleotide ribosomal RNA is filed under the name uncultured bacterium. RNAcentral's name for it is "bacterial SSU rRNA". It matches the Rfam family "Bacterial small subunit ribosomal RNA", at positions 18 to 518 of the family's 1533-position model. The record is from RNAcentral.